UUGAACCGGAUUCUUCCUUACUGGAGAUAAAAAUCCAGCCUGCGUCGCUUCUCCAACAUUGCGGUAUUUGUCAUUGUGGAAAACGUCUCGUGUGGAAAGUUGAACUGAAUCGUAUUAUAUUCAACUUGCGAAAUGUCCGGAAAAGAAGGAGCUGGUAAAAAGGGAACAACCAAACAAGCGAAAGAAGAAGGGGGAGCUCCUAAAACGCCCGAAAAGAAGGAAGGCGAGGCUCCUAAAAAAGGAAAAGGAAGGGGUAAGAAGGCAAAGUGAAGAUUUCUACGGUAUAGCUUGCUUUAACUGAAGAUGGAGCUGCCUGCUUAGUUCGGAGUUGGUUAAUGUGUCAGUCAUGUUUUCCGUAAUUUUUAGAAUGUUUGAUUUUCAUUUUUAUAACACUUCAUUUCAUGUUUCAUGUCCAUUUUGUGAUAAUAAAACAUAGUGAUUUUUUUA
This is a long non-coding RNA of Limulus polyphemus (Atlantic horseshoe crab), 447 nucleotides long. RefSeq lists it as uncharacterized. The record is from RefSeq and is a predicted model, not a curated record. The transcript is spliced from 5 exons. Lineage: Eukaryota; Metazoa; Arthropoda; Merostomata; Xiphosura; Limulidae.